Molecule: small nucleolar RNA, 104 nt
Filed under: Sorghum bicolor (sorghum)
Lineage: Eukaryota; Viridiplantae; Streptophyta; Magnoliopsida; Poales; Poaceae
Source: RNAcentral
CUGCAUGAGGCACCCUACUGUAAAUAUGGACAUACAGUAAAGUUGAUGGAAUUUAGGUGAGCAUUAUUUUGAGACAGAUGCUCAUAAAGGACCAUCAUACAUUC